This 1742-nucleotide unclassified non-coding RNA is filed under the name Hevea brasiliensis (rubber tree). The record is from RNAcentral. Lineage: Eukaryota; Viridiplantae; Streptophyta; Magnoliopsida; Malpighiales; Euphorbiaceae.
CUCUUUCUCUACCCAGUAUAAAGCGUAUGAAUAUAAAAAUUCACUUGCAAAAUAAAUUCUAUAGGAAAAUUCAUUUACAAAUGAAAUGAAAUACUUGUUCAUUUGGUUCCAAACAUCAAUUAACAUGACUAAUCAGCACUAAUAUAUUAGCAUCCUAAAUAUUUUCCUUUCAGUUCUGAAGUUUCAAGAAACUAGAAAAAUCAGAGCACAAUGCAUAAAAAAAGCUUUAAGUUCAACAAAUGUCCUGUAAAAUUAAAGGCAGACCAAUAUAGUAGUAAAUGCACGAAGUGCUCAGCUAGUCUAUUCUAUUAGUGGUCCUACAACUUUCAUUCUUCAAUUCACAUUAGUUUUCCAGGACACAAUAAAGCUCAACAAGAAAUAGCCCUAAACACCAAAUCGUAAUUAUCCAAGACAAACAAAUGCUUUCCAAGGCCAUCAUUGUUCUCUUAUAAUACACAGAAACCUAGAAAAGGGAUGCUGGCAUAAGCCUAAAUCCUUUUCUCAAGAACUUAAAUGUGUAGAAAUGAUGAGUUGGAGCAAAUAUAACAGAGUAUGCUUAAAAAGAUUUGUUCUUAACCAGAAAUAUGCAAUUUAGGAAACCUAAGAAAAACCGAUAAUGAAUUUCAACUCUGAGGAGAACAUUGUCAUAAAAGCAGAGCAAUUAGUAGGAUAUUCAAACAUAAUCAUUUAAAUAUGUAACCAUAGAAGCGAAAUUCUAACAGUACCCAAGUUGAUACCAUAUUUCAUUUCCCCUUUUUUCUGUUAUAUCAGCAAUUUUUAAAAGGGAAAGAAGCAUUACAAUUUGAACCCUCGACUUCCUACACUACACAUCAAACACUCUCAUUUCGCUUUUACAAAACCUGUAUUCCCUCUUCAUUAAGGAUACAAGAUAACUUGAAAAUGAGAACAUAUGUCAUGUCAAUGUUGUAUAUGAUAACUUGCUGCCUGUCCCACUCAGAUAGCCAAAAUGUUGAGCUUAGAUCAUAUGGAACUCCCCUUAAUGAUAUGUGAAAAUUCCAAGUUUCUUAAUGUAGAUAAACCAAGAGCAUCCUAACCAUUCACAUUCAAAUUAGUCAUUUAGAACUUGAAGGGGGUAAACAGCAAUUGCUCGUACCUGCCAGUUUUAGUCUGAAGUGGCCAAGUGCUAUCAUCAUAACCCUCUGAUAGAACCUUCAGCAAUUGAACCUUUCCACUGCCAAUGAAAUCAUCAUAUGUUAAGGUAUUGCUGUUCCAAACCGCGACAUUCAUCUCUCUUAGCCCUUCAAUUAAAGUAAAUACAAACUUCUCUUGGAAUGUAGGAUUUUUGCCACCAUCUGUACAGGUUCUUGUGCGGGAUUUAUUACUACCAUAUUCAACAAUAGCAUAAGGAUCUUGCCUAGAAAUCCAUUCUGUAUCUUUCAAUUUAUUACAACAAACAACGGUAACUUCAAGAAGAUGGCCUUGAAUACCAGAAACGGACAUAGUAGUAGAUGGGUAAGGAGAAGAAGAACGCUGAUUUGAAAAUGAAUACAUCAUCCGCUCUGUAAUCUUCUAUUAUAUAUAUAUAUAAAAGACAAAAGGUCUGGCCUUUUUAAUAUUGCUUUUCUUAAAAAAUAUAAGCCAAACCAACGCUGAUAAAUGAAUUACGCCUCCACUUUGAUCAUUUCUUGUUGACUGGGUUUCGGGGGGUCCCUCAUUGCUAUUGGAUUCCUUGGUUGGUUUGAUCGUUUUGGAUUUUUUUUAAAAAUUUAUUUAUCUUCUUU